Molecule: ribosomal RNA, 425 nt
Filed under: uncultured bacterium
Lineage: Bacteria
Description: partial 16S ribosomal RNA
Rfam family: Bacterial small subunit ribosomal RNA
Source: RNAcentral
GUGGGGAAUAUUGGACAAUGGGCGCAAGCCUGAUCCAGCCAUGCCGCGUGAGUGAUGAAGGCCUUAGGGUUGUAAAGCUCUUUCAGUAGGGAAGAUAAUGACGGUACCUACAGAAGAAGCCCCGGCUAACUUCGUGCCAGCAGCCGCGGUAAUACGAAGGGGGCUAGCGUUGUUCGGAUUUACUGGGCGUAAAGCGCACGUAGGCGGAUUGGUCAGUUAGAGGUGAAAUCCCGAAGCUCAACUUCGGAACUGCCUUUAAUACUGCCAGUCUCGAGUCCGGAAGAGGUGAGUGGAACUCCUAGUGUAGAGGUGGAAUUCGUAGAUAUUAGGAAGAACACCAGUGGCGAAGGCGGCGCACUGGUCCGGUACUGACGCUGAGGUGCGAAAGCGUGGGGAGCAAACAGGAUUAGAUACCCCGGUAGUCC